CCCUAUGGGGUGCAGCAGGCGCGAAACUUUCCCAAUGCACGAAAGUGUGAGGAAGGGAUUCGGAGUGCUUUCCCUUAUAUAGGGGAAGCUUUUGUGGAGUGUAGACAGCUCCAAGAAUAAGUGGUGGGUAAGACGGGUGCCAGCCGCCGCGGUAAUACCCGCGCCACGAGUGAUGACCACGUUUAUUGGGCUUAAAGCGUUCGUAGCCGGUCCAGUAAGUCUUUAGUGAAAUCCCAUAGCCAACUAUGGGGCUUGCUAGGGAAACUGUUGGACUUGGGACCGGGAGAGGUCUGGGGUAUUCCAGGGGUAAGGGUAAAAUCUUGUAAUCCUUGGGAGACCACCUGUGGCGAAGGCGCCAGACCAGAACGGAUCCGACGGUGAGGGACGAAAGCCAGGGGAGCAAAGGGGAUUAGAUACCCCCGUAGUCCUGGCUGUAAACGAUGCCCACUAGACAUUGGUAGUCUCACGGGGGCUAUCAGUGCCGUAGCGAAAGCGUUAAGUGGGCCGCCUGGGGAGUACGGUCGCAAGGCUGAAACUUAAGGGAAUUGGCGGGGGAGCACACAAGGGGUGGAGGCUGCGGUUUAAUUGGAUUCAACGCCGGGAACCUUACCAGAGGCGACAGCAGAGUGAAGUCCGCUUGAAGAGCGUACCAGACGCGCUGAGAAGAGUGCAUGG
Molecule: ribosomal RNA, 675 nt
Filed under: uncultured archaeon
Lineage: Archaea
Description: bacterial SSU rRNA
Rfam family: Archaeal small subunit ribosomal RNA
Source: RNAcentral